RNAcentral lists this ribosomal RNA (274 nucleotides) under uncultured bacterium. RNAcentral's name for it is "partial 16S ribosomal RNA". It matches the Rfam family "Bacterial small subunit ribosomal RNA", at positions 523 to 796 of the family's 1533-position model. The record is from RNAcentral.
AUACGGAGGGUGCAAGCGUUAAUCGGAAUUACUGGGCGUAAAGCGUGCGUAGGUGGUUUGUUAAGUCAGAUGUGAAAGCCCUGGGCUCAACCUGGGAACUGCAUUUGAAACUGGCAUACUAGAGUAUAGGAGAGGAAAGUGGAAUUUCAGGUGUAGCGGUGAAAUGCGUAGAUAUCUGAAGGAACAUCAAUGGCGAAGGCAGCUUUCUGGACUAAUACUGACACUGAGGUACGAAAGCGUGGGUAGCAAACAGGAUUAGAAACCCUAGUAGUCC